Molecule: long non-coding RNA, 1923 nt
Organism: Prinia subflava (tawny-flanked prinia)
Lineage: Eukaryota; Metazoa; Chordata; Aves; Passeriformes; Cisticolidae
Exons: 11
Source: RefSeq, a predicted model, not a curated record
AGUGAUUUCAGCUUUUGUUUCAAAAACUCUUUAGAGGCAAUGUUUUUCAACUAAACAUUUUUUUCUUUUUCUUUAUCUUUCUGGGAUGGUGAGUACACCUUACUAUGUUACUGAUACUAAUGGAACCAUUUAUUUGUCAAACUGACCUAGCAGAGAUCUGAUAAGCUGUGAACUACUUUGCCUAUGUAAUGGUAGGCUCCACUCAACCAAACAUUCUGAGCUGUGUGUUUCCUUCACAGCGGUUGAGUACUUCAUGGAGUCAGGUGUUUACUGAUCUGCAGCUUCAGCUUGCUCAUUCCUUUGUAGGAGAGGACAGCUACACACCAAAGGAGCCCAAGGAAAAGUGCAAUAGACUCCACUUUCAGAAUAAAAGAGCUGUGGGACGGCUGCCAAAGUGGUGUCAGCAGGAAUAGAAGAGUCUCUUGGAAGCUCCAACCAGCAUACCACAAACUCAUUACAGUGUAGGAUGGAAAACAGUGAUUUUUAACACUUUGCUUUUCCCUCUUCUUGUUGGAGAAGAAAAAGUGGACUGUUACCUUCACAGAAUCCAUGGCACCUUUAUGCUUUAUGCCUGCUGGUCUAAUUUUGACAAGAAGUAAAUUAUCUGAGCAAAGGCUUCUGUUUUCCAGAUGAUGACUCCGAGUCUGGUUAACGGUUCUUUAUGUGGAAGCCAUUCAGCCUCUCUGUGCCUCCCAUGGUUUAUUAUAUAUAUUUUUAUUAUUAAGGGGAAGUGCUACACAUAUUAUUCACAGUGAGAAGGGUUGUAUAAACUCCUGUGUUCUCUGUCUACCUCAUAAUUUGGAUUACUCCCUUUAACUGCUAGCUGUGCUGAGUCCUGAAGGGAUUCAUGGCUUCUCACCAACUACACUCAAGAAACACAUGUCAAAUUAGUGCUGUUUGUUGUCAGUGACCUUCUGAGUCCAUCCAUGCCGAGGGAGUCAAUUACCUGUUUUAGGGGGAAAAGUAGUACCUGGAACUGCAGUUUCUUCCCUAGAUAACUUCUCAGCCUUCCUUGAGAAGGAUAGAUGGCUUGUUCAGCAUACUCAUCAGGAACUUUGGAGAAUACUUCUACAUGGGGCUUGAAGCAGAAGCUGAAAGAAAAACUGCUUUAAUCACAACCUCUAGCAAUUGUGAGUCAUCCCCUACAGAACAAAAGAAAAGGUAAUAUUACUUUCUUUUAACAAUAACAUGCAUCAAGGCAUGAAGAUUUAAGAAGCAAUAAAAUUAAUGACUGGCUCCGAAAUGCAGAAGAGCACAUCCCCAGAAUUCAAAGCAUCGGUCCAUUGCUCAUACAAAACAUAAGGAACUGCAGCUGGAAAAGUUUUGACCCACAAAUCCUCAGCACCGACUCUCAGCAAUGGUCAUGUGGAUUUCCAACAUACAUGGAGCAUUAGAUAUACUUAACAGCUGACGUCAUAUUGGUAAGAUUUUUAAAAUCGUUGUUCUGAAGUGACAUGAAUCUUUAGGUGAGGUUUUAAGGCAGUAAAAAAACUUUUCCAGUUAACUCUAGCAUAUACCAAUGCCUAGUUUUCAUCAUAUGAACAGAUCUACCGAGGUCAAUGGGACCAUGCGCACAUGUGAAGUGAUGCAUCUACUAUAGAGCCUGCAGAAAUCCUAGUAAUAACUUGCCAUAAUUUAGCUUUUUAAGUUAGUGGCUGUAGCAGAGAGUCAAAGAAAAAAAAAGCAUUUAAAUUCUGAUUUUUUAAUGUUAACCUACCCUAGACUUAAAUGCUUGAGUCUCAUUUGUAUUAAAUAUUAGGACUAAAAGAAGUAUACAUUUGUAUCCAAAUUGUUUAAUCUUCAUUCCCUAAAGAAACAUUUCCACCCAAUAAUUCAGAAAACUUUUUUCUUAUAAAUUCUAGAAAUCUUUAUAGGAAAGGACUUUUAUAUGACUUACUUUUUCAUAUCCUGGAAACUGUUAAU